This 444-nucleotide ribosomal RNA is filed under the name Triticum aestivum (bread wheat). RNAcentral's name for it is "partial small subunit ribosomal RNA". Lineage: Eukaryota; Viridiplantae; Streptophyta; Magnoliopsida; Poales; Poaceae. The record is from RNAcentral.
AUGCUCAGGAAGGCGAGACGGCGGCGGCUCCCUGAAGAUGGAAUAAAGGUCUCCCCGCCUAGCCCCCGUUCCGGCGGUGCAUCUAGCAUCGUUGGUGGGCGUGUGGAGGUGUGUCUCCGGCUGAUCUAUCUUUGGUGGAUUUGCUCGGAUCUCGUCGUUGUUCGUCUACGUUCGUGUGUCUUCGGGUUGAAUCCUUCCAACCUACGUUAUUCUUCUUCGGCGGCGGUUGCUGUUCUGGUGCGCUGGUCCUAUGGGGCCUUAGCACGACGACUUCCCGACUGUCUACUACAACAAGUUGUGCCCGACUCCGGCGAUGGAGGGGUGAUGACGGCGGCGCGCCUUCGGCUCGCUUCAAUGCUUGUAGUCGUCGCUAGGUGGUCUACAGAUCUGGAUGUAAUUUUUACUUCUGGUGUUCGUUGUACUGCCAUGAUUGAAGAUGAAUAG